CGGGUAAGUUCCGACCUGCACGAAUGGCGUAACGAUGGCCACACUGUCUCCACCCGAGACUCAGUGAAAUUGAAUUUGCGGUUAAGAUGCCGUAUACCCGCGGCUAGACGGAAAGACCCCGUGAACCUUUACUAUAGCUUAGUAUUGACUUUGGAUAAGUAAUGUGUAGGAUAGGUGGGAGACUUUGAAGCGGCGUCGCUAGGCGUUGUGGAGUCAACCUUGAAAUACCACCCUUUGCUUAUCUAGAGCCUAACUCAGAGAUGAGGACAGUGCUUGGUGGGUAGUUUGACUGGGGUGGUCGCCUCCAAAA
RNAcentral lists this ribosomal RNA (310 nucleotides) under Isochrysis galbana. RNAcentral describes it as "partial Bacterial large subunit ribosomal RNA". It matches the Rfam family "Bacterial large subunit ribosomal RNA", at positions 1973 to 2294 of the family's 2925-position model. The record is from RNAcentral. Lineage: Eukaryota; Haptophyta; Isochrysidales; Isochrysidaceae.